Oreochromis aureus is the source of this 693-nucleotide long non-coding RNA. Lineage: Eukaryota; Metazoa; Chordata; Actinopteri; Cichliformes; Cichlidae. The record is from Ensembl.
GUUUGUCGCACAUAGCUUGAUUGAGACAACACAAAUAUGAGGUUGACUGUGAUUGGUUACCACAAAUUCGGAUCACAGGUUGUGUUAAGGGGUGGAUUAAAAAAAAAAAGUUCAGUCUUGCCGAUCCAAUCACGAACAACGUACCUUCUCCCGCCGUACUUUGAAUUUUCGGGAUGCUAUAUAUAUCUGCCCAGCCUUUUGGCGGACUUUUUAUGGACAAUCAUGUCUGAACGUACCGCUGCGUUUCGACGGAGAGUCAAUGAUAUCAGAGACAGAAUGAAUGCCCAAUUUAACCGGCUACUUAAUCAAGAUGACGGUGAAGAGGGGACUUCUCUUCUACAAAGCUUUGGAGUUUUCCGCCAACAGCACGGGGGUGGACCAGUGCGCAGGCCAAGAGGCGGGAGAACCAGACAUCGCCAGUUAACGUUUAAGGUGUCAGUACUAAGGAAUCCGACACUGACCCACUACCGAUCUCAUAGGGAUGCCACUCCUGCUACUCGGGUGGUCGUUCCUGUAAACCUCAAUGCCGCUGAAUUCAGGCAGGCACUACGGGACAAUAUUGCAGACAUACCUUUGCAGUUCGAUCUAUGCAAAGUGAAUGGACAGCGGCUCAUUCUUCCUCUUGAAGAGGAGACGCCCCAAGAAAUUAGAGCAAGAAACCUACUGGGUCGCUCCAAUCUUUAUAUCCGUCCA